This 1235-nucleotide ribosomal RNA is filed under the name Klebsiella pneumoniae. RNAcentral's name for it is "bacterial LSU rRNA". It matches the Rfam family "Bacterial large subunit ribosomal RNA", at positions 1726 to 2925 of the family's 2925-position model. Lineage: Bacteria; Pseudomonadati; Pseudomonadota; Gammaproteobacteria; Enterobacterales; Enterobacteriaceae. The record is from RNAcentral.
UGCCGUAACUUCGGGAGAAGGCACGCUGGUGUGUAGGUGAAGUCCCUGCGGAUGGAGCUGAGACCAGUCGAAGAUACCAGCUGGCUGCAACUGUUUAUUAAAAACACAGCACUGUGCAAACACGAAAGUGGACGUAUACGGUGUGACGCCUGCCCGGUGCCGGAAGGUUAAUUGAUGGGGUUAUCCGUAAGGAGAAGCUCUUGAUCGAAGCCCCGGUAAACGGCGGCCGUAACUAUAACGGUCCUAAGGUAGCGAAAUUCCUUGUCGGGUAAGUUCCGACCUGCACGAAUGGCGUAAUGAUGGCCAGGCUGUCUCCACCCGAGACUCAGUGAAAUUGAACUCGCUGUGAAGAUGCAGUGUACCCGCGGCAAGACGGAAAGACCCCGUGAACCUUUACUAUAGCUUGACACUGAACAUUGAGCCUUGAUGUGUAGGAUAGGUGGGAGGCUUUGAAGCGUGGACGCCAGUCUGCGUGGAGCCAACCUUGAAAUACCACCCUUUAAUGUUUGAUGUUCUAACGUUGGCCCCUUACCGGGGUUGCGGACAGUGUCUGGUGGGUAGUUUGACUGGGGCGGUCUCCUCCCAAAGCGUAACGGAGGAGCACGAAGGUUAGCUAAUCCUGGUCGGACAUCAGGAGGUUAGUGCAAUGGCAUAAGCUAGCUUGACUGCGAGCGUGACGGCGCGAGCAGGUGCGAAAGCAGGUCAUAGUGAUCCGGUGGUUCUGAAUGGAAGGGCCAUCGCUCAACGGAUAAAAGGUACUCCGGGGAUAACAGGCUGAUACCGCCCAAGAGUUCAUAUCGACGGCGGUGUUUGGCACCUCGAUGUCGGCUCAUCACAUCCUGGGGCUGAAGUAGGUCCCAAGGGUAUGGCUGUUCGCCAUUUAAAGUGGUACGCGAGCUGGGUUUAGAACGUCGUGAGACAGUUCGGUCCCUAUCUGCCGUGGGCGCUGGAGAAUUGAGGGGGGCUGCUCCUAGUACGAGAGGACCGGAGUGGACGCAUCACUGGUGUUCGGGUUGUCAUGCCAAUGGCACUGCCCGGUAGCUAAAUGCGGAAGAGAUAAGUGCUGAAAGCAUCUAAGCACGAAACUUGCCCCGAGAUGAGUUCUCCCUGAGACUUUAAGUCUCCUGAAGGAACGUUAAAGACGAUGACGUUGAUAGGCCGGGUGUGUAAGCGCAGCGAUGCGUUGAGCUAACCGGUACUAAUGAACCGUGAGGCUUAACCUUACAACGCCGAAG